UAAUAUUCAAGAUUUAAGAUUAUAAAAUAAAUCAGAUCAAGGUGUAGUUUAUAAAUAAGAAGAGAUGAGUUACAAUAAAAUUAUUUAUAUGAAUAAUAAUUUUAAAAGUUAUUUGAAAGUGGAUUUGAAAGUAAUUUAAAUUAAUUUAUUUAUAUGAUUUUAGCUCUAAAAUAUGUACAUAUCGCCCGUCAUUUUCACUAUAAAGUGAAACAAGUCGUAACAUAGUAGGCGUACCGGAAGGUGUGCCUAGAACGACAAAUUAGAGCUUGUUUUAAAGCAUUUUAUUUACAUUAAAAAGUUUAUUGUGAGAUUCAAUAUAAUUUGAUUAAUUUAUAUUAUUAAUUAAAUAAAUUUUUAAAUUAUUUAAUUAAAAUAAUAUUUUUUUUAUUAUUAAAAUGAAAAAAUUUUUUUUAUUAUAGUAAAUUAGUAUUGUAAAAGAAUUAUUUAAAAAAUUUAAUAGAAUAUUUUAUUUUUAGUACCUUGUGCAUCAGGGAUUAUUAAAUAAAAAUUAUUUAAAUAAUUUUUUCGAAUUUAAAAGAGUUAUAAAUUUAUAUUUUUUAUUGUUUUAUAAAUAUUAAUAAUAAAUUUAUGGUAAUGAAAUGUUAUUCGUUUUUAAAUUUAUCUAAUUUUUUAAGAAAAAAAUUUAAUUUUUUUAAUAUUAAUAUUAACAUUUUUCAGUAAUUAAAAUAUUAUUAUUAUUAAAUAUUUUAAGGGAUGAGCUUUAAAAUAAAAUUAUAUAAAUAAAAAAAAGUUUUAAAUAAAUAAGAUUAAAAAUUUCUAUUUUUAAAAGUUAUUUAUAUUUUUUUUAAUAUUAAAUAAAAUUUUUAUAUAUUUUAUAUUUUUUAUUAAAAUUAUUAUUUAAAUUAUAAAAAUAAUUAAAUUAUGAUAAUAUUAGUAUAAAUUUUUGUAAAUUUAUUUAAUUUUUUAGGUUAAUUAAAGGAAUUCGGCAAAAUUAUUUUUCACCUGUUUAUAAAAACAUGUCCUUUUGAAUAUAAUUUUAGGUUUAACCUGCCCAAUGAAAAAUUUUAAAUGGCCGCAGUAUUUUAACUGUGCAAAGGUAGCAUAAUAAUUAGUUUUUUAAUUGAAAGCUUGAAUGAAAGGUUGAAUGAGAAAAUAACUGUCUCUAGUUGAUUUUUUUAUAAAUUUAUUUUUAAGUUAAAAAGCUUAAAUAUUUUUUGAAGACGAGAAGACCCUAUAGAGUUUUAUAAUUUUUUAUAAUAAAUUAAUUUAGAAUUAAUAUUUUUUUAUAAAAAAAAUUAUUUAAUUGGGGUGAUUAAAAAAUUAGAUUAACUUUUUUUAUAAAAUUACAUUAAUUUAUGAAUAAUUGAUCCUUUUUAAGAUUAAAAGAUUAAAUUACCUUAGGGAUAACAGCGUAAUUUUUUUUUAGAGUUCAAAUUAAAAAAAAAGGUUGCGACCUCGAUGUUGGAUUAAAAUUUAUAAUUGGUGUAAAAGCUAAUAUUAUUGAGUCUGUUCGACUUUUAAAAUUUUACUUGAUCUGAGUUCAAACCGGUGUGAGCCAGGUUGGUUUCUAUCUCAAAAAUAAAAAUUUAUUUUAGUACGAAAGGACCAAAUAAAUAAUUAAAAAUUUAAAUUUUUGAAUAUUAUUAAUUAUUUUGGCAGAAUAGUGCAUUAGAUUUAGAAUCUAAAAAUGUAAAUUUUACAAAUAAUACUUGAUGUUAAAAGAUUUAUUGAUAAUUUUGGUUUCUAGAUUAAUUUUAGCUUUUAGAGUAAUAAUUGGGGUUGCUUUUUUAACUUUAAUAGAACGAAAAGUUUUAGGAUAUAUUCAAAUUC
RNAcentral lists this ribosomal RNA (1791 nucleotides) under Melanapion minimum. RNAcentral describes it as "partial 16S ribosomal RNA". The stretch from base 1608 to 1669 matches the Rfam family "tRNA". The record is from RNAcentral. Lineage: Eukaryota; Metazoa; Arthropoda; Insecta; Coleoptera; Brentidae.